UACCAGCUCCCCGAGUGGUUGGGACGUUUAUUGGGCCUAAAGCAUCCGUAGCCUGUCUUGUAGGUCUUCUGUUAAAUUCAAUAGCUCAACUAUUGAGCCGCAGUAGAUACCGCAGGACUAGGAGGCGGGGGAGGUGGACGGUACUCAAUGGGUAGGGGUAAAAUCCUUUGAUCCAUUGAAGACCACCAGUGGCGAAGGCGGUCCACCACAACGCGCUCGACGGUGAGGGAUGAAAGCUGGGGGAGCGAACCGGAUUAGAUACCCGGGUAGUCCCAGCUGUAAACGAUGUGAGCUAGGUGAUGGGGUGGCUACGGGCCAUCCCAGUGCCCCAGGGAAGCCGUUAAGCUCACCGCCUGGGAAGUACGGCCGCAAGGCUGAAACUUAAAGGAAUUGGCGGGGGAGCACCACAAGGGGUGAAGCCUGCGGUUC
This 429-nucleotide ribosomal RNA is filed under the name uncultured archaeon. RNAcentral's name for it is "bacterial SSU rRNA". It matches the Rfam family "Archaeal small subunit ribosomal RNA", at positions 474 to 903 of the family's 1478-position model. The record is from RNAcentral.